Callorhinus ursinus (northern fur seal) is the source of this 400-nucleotide long non-coding RNA. RefSeq lists it as uncharacterized. The record is from RefSeq and is a predicted model, not a curated record. NCBI's taxonomy places the organism in Eukaryota, Metazoa, Chordata, Mammalia, Carnivora, Otariidae.
CCUGAGCCGAAGGCAGAUGCUUAGCCAACUGAGCCACCCAGGUCUAUUCAAAUAUUCUGUUUCGUGUUGUGUCAAAGCAUGAGGAUGCUUUUGGCAAGAAUCGACCAAAAAUGUAACAGUGGCCUAAGUAACAAGCCCUCUCAUCCUCCUGCCUCACACAGUCAGAGUGAAGAGGUUUUUCAAGGCUGGAGUAGAUACUCAAGGACACAGGCUCCUUCAACGUCCUCACUCCCUUAUCUUCCGCUGCUGGCUUGUCGCUUCGUGUUCUCAAGUUGACUACAGCACAUCUAGGCACCGUGUAGAUCCAAACAGGGACAAGCUGGGAAACUGUCUUUUCAUUUGGGAUAGCAGUCAGCAUUGGGACGGAUCUUUUCUGAAAUAAAGGAAUUUUUACCUGCUA